CAUGUCUGCACCGAUCCAGUUUCGCAUAACUCUUAAAAUUUAAAGCUUUAAAGUACGGUUCGCAAUUGUAUUGUCAAGACAUGGCCCUAGAGCUUGUUCUUCAAGUUUUGGCUGUACAGUUGUCAUUGUUUCAGUCAAGUGCAAAAGAGGUUAUUCCUGUUUAUUUAGUGUUAAUAGCUAUUUACAGUUAAAACUUUAAAGACUCAUAGAAGUAGGUCUGCUGUAUUUUAAAGAUCUCAUCAUUCUUGUGGGAGAGACACAACACCAACACCAGGAAAGGCAACAGAUUGCUUCUGUCAUAUCGCUUUGCUGUUUUGGAGUGUACUUAAAGGAUUAUGAUUGAUAAGGCUGUCUUGCCAGAGAAUGUUGACACAGGUGUGCAUCGUUAUCUUAAUUAAGAUCCUGAGAAAAUGUUGUCUAUAAAUGGUGACAUAAGAAGGGCGGCAUAUUUUUGUACAGUUUUGCUUUUGGAGAAUUUAAUUGCACUUGAAACCUGUCUUUGAGCUUCCAGAUUUUGUGAGCACUUUAGCAACAGAAGUUUUAGAGAGAAAUGAUAGUUUAAUGUUAAGUGUUCUGGCAUGUACUAAUACUACUUGUGGCUUUUUGGCAAUGCCUGUGUCGGCUUUCUUUGUGCUCUACCUUUGUGGAAUAAUGGUUUCUAAUUUUGAAAGAAAAGCAUAAAAUAGAGCAGUAUUUUAUUAAGCAAACACUUGUUAGUGUUCAGAAUAAGUCUGUAGAGGAGGGCAUGCUUAAUGUGCAGAAACAGGAAUAUAAUAAGAGGUGUUAAGUGUGAUGCUUCCAUAAUACAUUUGGAUGCUGUCAGCUAAGUUCACUUCUGAACUAAGGGGUUCCUCCAAAUGUUGGCUGAAAUUCAUCCCAAGGCUGGUCUGCAAGUGAGUGUCUGCACACAGUUUGCUUGUAUGUGGAGUCGAUCCAAAAUAGCAUCAAUGUUGGUUUUACCAAAGUAUUUAUUAUUGAUAAUAGAGGCUAAGUACAAAAUGUAGAGAAUGUCAGCUACUUGAGGCCUUUGAUUAUUAAAAAUUUUAUUAAUGCAUUAAACAAGAGUACAGUAAAUAGAUAAAUUUUAGGUUCAUGAAAUAAAACUGAAUAAUUUAUUUUUACUUACUAUUUAUCAUGGAAUUACUUUGAAUAAUUUAUUUUUAAUGGUAUAAUUGGACAGUAAAAUUUAUAAACUCAGUGCUUUUCAUAAAAAUCAAAGUGAAGUUUGUAAUAUUUUAUACAAAUAGAAUUAUUAUUUAAGAGAAAUAACCUGUUUAUGCCUAAUUACAGUUUUUAAUCAUUUCAGUUACCUAUUUCUUUUAAGAAUAAAUUUAGUGGGAAUAUCAGUUCCAGUCAUGGGUACCAAACUUUUUUAGUGACAGAGUACACACAGGUAUGUAAAACUUGUCAUUUCUCAUCAAAUAGAGGCUGCUGAAUAUAGGCAGGUAAGAAAAGCUAUGAGAAAGAAUUGUUUUGCAGAAUAUUUGUCUAGUUGUCAGAGCAAGGAACUGAAUUUAUUGACACAGAACAUUUUAUUAAGUAAAAAAAAUGGUUCUUAUAACAAAAAAAAAAGCUAAUUUUACAGAAGGCAGUAGUUAAUAUAGCCGCCAAUAAAAUAAAUGUUUCUCUGAAUACUUUCCGAGGCAUUACAGUGAUUUUUAACUAAUAUGAAGUGAUAUAUAAUAAUUUUAAAGUAACAUCCUUGAGUUUUCCUAUUAUUAAUUGCUUAUGGAAAUUGGGUUUCACGUAUGACUGAGAGCUAAAGCAUUACAGUGAGUUAGAAAACACAACACAAAUGUAAAGAAAAUGUUAGGUGGUGAGUAAUCUGAUUCCUUUUUGUUUGCCUUUAAGCUUAGUUUUUUGUUUUGUUUUACUUUGUUUUAAACCAUGUAUAAAAUUGUUGAAUUUAAAAGAUAAGAGGAUUAAGUAAUUUCUUUUUUCCUCCUAAGGAUAAAUGUAGGAAAAAUCUAAACACAUAGGCAGAUUGGUUGAGUUUUAUAUCUGUUAUCGGCCACAUUUAUUAAGAUUCAUAUUUCAUGUAUAUUAGAGGUAUUCACAUGUAUUAAAAUUCUUAUAUUCCUUCUAUAUAAAAUAGAUGUAGGGGGUUCCCACUCUUGAAAAUAUGAAGAAAAGAUGUCCUUUCAGCAAUAAUGGGUUAUGGUUGAUUAACUGAGAAGGUUGUAUUAAACGUUCUCUAGUAGAAAUGGCUAAAGAGCAUGCUUUUUGAGAAGUGUAUCAUCUAGGAAGAAAAUCAAAUGGAGUAUUGGUAAUUAAAUUGUAAUUCCAUGAAGGAAGGAAGUGGUGCAAAAGAUGAAGCUAACUAUUCCUGUUUUUCUUUUUAAGAGUCUGCAAUUCAUAAUGGAGCUACUGUACUGGCUAUUGGAAGGAGGAGAUUCUGAAGAUAAGGAGGUAAAACCUGUUUAGAAAUUAAAAAUGAGUUACGAUUUAAAGAAAAUUCAGAUGACUCAUUGUGAGUGCUAGUUCUCUUGUAGGAUGCCACUGGAAAUGUUGAAAUGAAAAAUAUUCAGCCGUUGGUCUUUGAAAUUUCCUGUGAUGUGUUUCAAUCUAGAUGCAAAGAACAUGGAAAAAUCAAAGUGCUCGAGUGGUUUAAAUAUGUUUUGGGUAUUCCUGUUUAUAGACUAUAAUACUUUUCCAAUUAAAAUCCUCAGUUGUCACGCAGAAGAAGGUUAAGCUGUAUUUGAUUGCCAGUUUUACUGAAAAUGCUUAGUAUUUUACAGUAUCACCAAAUAUAUUUUGUUUAGCCAAGGUAUAGGAAAAAUAAAAUAAAUUGUAUAGGUUGACUUUUUUCUAAAAUGUCUUUAUUGGAUUGAAUGAAUGUUUAUACCUGAAAAAAAAAGGUUCAAAAAAAUUCCUUUUUCUAUCAGAGUCAUUCUUUUGACAAUCAGAUAUUAGACUAGGUUUAAAAUAACUUUCUAAUAUGACUCAUAUUUAUGGGAGGAAAAAGACUUGAAAGAUAUUCCUAUGUGUACUUUAAUUUUCUGUAAUAGUCCCUCUGGAAUAGAAUAUCUCUUCCUCAAACAAAUCUAUUGGCUCAUUUCAUAUACAAGAAAAAGUUGCCCUAAAUGGCAGAGUUUCAUCUCUGUAAAGAAGGCUGACAUCCACUUCCUUCACAGAAUCCCUGCAUUUGGGUAAUUGAGUAAUGAUAGAUUACCUUGCCAUUGGGAAAUACCUUGUUGUGGCCUUUGUAGCAGCUAUAGGAAGAUGGAAGAAUUCUUUUGUAUAGACAGGUCUCUAGCCUCUUUGGUGUGGACACUGUGAAGGGGUACAUCUGGUGAGAAGGAGUGCUUAGGGAAGGAACUGGGAAGGUCCACAAAGGCUGAUGAUGACAAAGAAUCCAAGGGCUAUGAUGAAUUCUUAAGCUUAGAUCUCAGAGUCAUAAAGUAAAUUUAUUAGGCUAGAGAGAUUUCCUUUUUUAUUUUUGAUCAAACUUUAUUUUUUCAGAUUGUUAAGUUCACAUGCAGUUGUACAAAAUAAUACAGAGAUCUUUGAACACUACCCAGUUUCUCCUAAUAGUAACUUCUUGCAAUAUACUGUAUAGCACAGCAUCACAACCUGGAUACUGACAUUGAUGCAGUCAAGACAGAGAACAUUUAUAUCAUGAGGAGGAUCCCUCAUUACCGCCCUUUGAUAUCCACCCCUACUUCCAGACCAUCUCACUCCUCCCUUAACCCUGGCAACCACUAGCAUGUUCUCCAUUUCUAUAAAUUUGCCUUUAUAGGAAUGUUAUAUAAUUGCAAUUAAAGUGUGUAACCUUUUGGGGUUUGACUCACCCGGCAUCAUUUUCUGGAGAUUCAGCUUAUAUGUGUCAAUAGUUUGUUCCCUUUUUUUUAGUUCAGUAGUAUUCUGUGGUACGUGUGUACCACAUCACUCAUCAAUUCGGACUUCUGGGUUGUAUCUGGUAUUUGAUUAUUACAAAUAGAAGUACUAUAUAUAUAUUCGUGUAGAGGUUUCUGUGUGAACAUAAACUUUCAUUUUCCUGGGACAGAUGCCCACGAGUGAAAAUUGUGAGUCAUAUGGUAAUUAUGUAGAGUAUUUUUUUUUUGAGACGAUUUGUUUAUGAUUUUAAAACAUAAAAAUAUAAGUUGUAGCCAAAUAUAAGGAAGGAUUUUUCCACAAUCUAGACUUUAUUCUUAUUUUAGAGAAAUACUUUUGAAAAAAUUGCUUUAUUGGCAAACAAUUCCUAUGUAAAGGAAUAAAAGACGCAUAUACUCUAGGAAAGAUGUUGCAAAGCUGACAGGCAACUUUGAGAAAGAUGAGGGCAGUUUUCCAGUGUUACUGGAGACUUGACAUUCAAGGAUGUAUUAUGAUAGUUUCUGAAUUGAUAGAUUCUUUAGCGUUUGUCACUACCCUCAGGCCUGCAGUUUUUAUUUGUAGAAUUAACUCAUCUUUACAAUGCUUUGUUGAGUGCUGUUGCAGAAAAUGCUCAUGUAAUUCAAUUAUAUGCAGUUAGGAAAAAGAAGUAUCUUUUUCUAGUACAUGGCCCCUAAAAUGAUGACUUUCCACAAUGCUGAAUGGAGGAAACAGCUCUGUUUCCAUCAAACUCUGGUGGAAAUUAUACAAAGUUAUAUUAUGCUUUAUGAGACAUAGUGAGGUAGUACACAACCAUAUAUGCUAUAUUAUUGGGGAGACCCACUGAAAGAAUUUUCAAGGAUAAUUUUUGCUCUGAUUUUCUAUCAUGUAUAUUGACUUUAUUGAUUGAUUGAUUGAGAUGGAGUCUCACCCCGUCACCCAGGCUGAAGUGCAGUGGUGCAAUCUCUGCUCACUGCAACCUCCGCCUCUCAGGUUCAAGUGAUCCUCGUGCCUCAGCCUCCCGAGUAGCUGAGACUAUAGGUGUGUGCUACGAUGCCCAGCUAAUUUUUGUAUUUUUAGUAGAGACAGGAUUUGGUAGCCUGGUCUCGAACUCCUGACCUCAGGUGAUCUACCCACCUUGGCCUCCCAAAAUACUGGGAUUACAGGUGUGAGCCACCGUGCUGGCCAAGUAUAUUGACUUUAAAACGUUACCGGCUGGGCGUGGUGGUUCACGCCUGUUAUCCCAGCACUUUGGGAGCCCGAGGCGGAUGGAUUACCUGAAGUCAGGAGUUCGAGACCAGCCCAACCUGGUGAAACCCCGUCUCUACUAAAAAUACACAAAUUAGCCGGGCGUGGUGGCAGGCGCCUAUAAUCCCAACUACUGGGAAGGCUGAGGCAGGAGAAUUGCUUGAACCUGGCAGGCGGAGGCUGCAGUGAGCCAAGACUGCGCCACUGCACUCCAGCCUGGGCAACAAGAGCAAAACUCAGUCUCAAAAAAAACAGAAAAAAAAAGUUACCACGGGUGAAACAUUGGGCUGGUCACAGUGAUCCUUCUAACAGCAGUCAAUAUUAUAAAUCUAGCUUUUUUUUUUGAGUGAGAUACUAGGCCCAGGGAACCCGAGUCUUUCAAUCCUCAUGAAUAUAGUUUAAUCUUUAGCUCAUUAUGGUCAUGACCAUAGUUAAAUAAAUGACACGAGAUAAUAAAAUAGUCUUUGCCCUUAAAACUGACCUGGGUAAAAGGAUGUACACUUGAAUCUUUGAAUACCAGAAUAGUCAUUCAUUCAUUGAGCCGUGUUGUAGCAUCCCAUCUUCUGGCACUUCCAGCACUGGGAACCCAUCAUAAAGAAGGCACUACAGGCCAGGCGCUGUGGCUCACGCCUGUAAUCCCAGCACUUUGGGAGGCCAAGGCAGGCGGAUCACCUGAGGUCAGGAGUUCGAGACCAGCCUGGCCAACAUGGUGAAACCCCAUCUCUACUAAAAAUACAAAAAGUAACUGGGCAUGGUGGCAGGCGCCUGUAAUCCCAGCUACUUGGGAGGGUAAGGCCAGAGCAUCGCUUGAACCCGGAAGGCAGAGGUUGCAGUGAGCCAAGAUCCUGCCAUUGCACUCCAGCCUGGGGGAUAAGAGCGAGACUUCGUCUAAAAAAAAUAAAAAUAAAAAGGCACUACAGCACCUGUUCUCUUAGUGUAGCUCUAUUAGCUCUUAGACUAGGGGGUAGGGAUGGGAAAAAGUAAAAAGAAACUGAGAAACCAAUCUAAUUACGCAUAAUCAGAAAUCCAAAGCUUCCAGAAUUCAUGAGGAAAAAGAACUGCAGCUGAUGGAGUAGGCAUUACAGAGAAUGAGAGGCUUGCUUUUUUUUUAAGUUUCAUUUUAUUUGUAAUUGACACAAUAGCACAUAUUUACGGGAUACAGUGUGACAUUUUAAUACAUUUACAUAUUGUGUAAUGAUCAAAUUAGGAUAAUUAGCUUAUGUAUCACUUCAAAAACAUAAUUUCUUUGUGAUGAGAACAUUCAAAAUCUUCUAGUAUUUUGAAAUACAUAAUGCAAUAUUGUUAACCACAAUCACCCUACUGUGCAAUAGAACACCAGAGUUUACUCCUCUUUUCCAUCUGUAGCUUCAGACCCAUUGACCAAUCUCUCCCCUUCGCCCCCCACCACCCCCCCCCCCGCCGUCACCACUCUCCUCCCCUCCCCAGCAAGAGGCUUGAAUCUUGAAGGAGCACAUCAGAUAGAAAGAGGGAAAUCAACUGGGACAUGGUUUGUUGGAAGUGGGGUGGAAUCUGGUUUGUUUACAGUUUCAGAGUUUGAGGCAUCAAAAGUGUAUGUCAUUGCCCAAAAGUAUUUAACAGCUUUCUAUGUUUUAGGAAUUCACUAGAAAUAAGGCAUGCUUUUUAAAAAAGAAAAAAAAUAGUAAUCUUUGAAUUUAAAUAUGUGGGUUUCCAUGAAAAACAAAUGAGUACCCUUCCUUGAAAAACUACUACUUUGAAGAGUCUCGUAGGUUCUGAGGCUCGUGUGUGUGUGUGGGUGUGUGUGUAUAAAACAUUUUCUUUUAUAUUUGGUAAGAAGGAAUAAGGUAUUUUAUACUUUUCUGGUCUGUUAAAUGCAUAAUCUAUAAGACUAUAAUACUUUAAAAAAUUUUAGUUUAUCUGAGGCUUAAAAUAACAAAAGAACUUAAAGCUCCUGUGGAAGAGCUCCAAAAUUAAAACUGUAAGAUCACAUAUAGAUAAAACGUUAUAUAAAGCAGGCUUUGGGACCCCAGGCAUGAUGGCUCAUUCCUGUAAUCCCAGCACUUUGGGAGGCCAAGGUGGGUGGAUCACCUGAACCCAAAAGUUCGAGACCAGCCUGAGCAACAUGGUGAAACCCUGUCUCUACAAAAUACAGAAAAAAAAAAUAUUAACCAAUUUUUUUAACCUCCCAGCUACUUGGGAGGCUGAGAUGGGAGGAUGGCUUGAGCCUGGGGAGGUCGCGGCUGCAAUGAGUCAUGAUCGCGCCACUGCACUCCAGCCUGGGUAAUAGAUUGAAACUCUGUCUCCACACACACACACACAAAUGACUUUUGGUAAGACUGUACAUAGAGUUUAUGGCCUUAUUAAGAAACUCUUUUGAGCAACCUAAGAAAACACAAGUAUUUCUGUACAUUACUUUGUUAAAGUGUACAGGAUAAUAAGAGAGAGCUAAGAGCCUUUUCUAAAUGUGCAUCCAAUUUUAAGAGGCUAAAAUAGGAAGCUUUCAUAUAGCCAAGGCCCCAUUAACUUGGGAAUCUGGAAAACAGAAGACGUAAGUUUCUAUCAGAGUUUCUUUAAAUUUAUGUAAAUCAUAAAUUUGAGCAAGGCAGUUAUAAAAGACAUUAAAAUUAAGAUACUCAGGAUUUUAUAUGUAAUAAUAUUGAUUCCAAUAUCUUCAACACUAUGGCAUUGCCAAUGAGGAGACCAAAAUGAAUUGUAUUUUAUGAAAGGGCUAUAUUAGACCAGUGACUUAAAAGUUCCAAGUACAUAUAAUGACAAAGCGUUGUGGAAUCAUCUUGUACUACUGUUUAUGUAGUAGUUUAAAAAAAAAAAGAAAAAGAAAAUGGUGCAAUUUUAGACAGUUUAAAAAAAUUUUACAAAUACUGCAAAUCAUAGGUUGGUUACCACUAGACUUCCUGACUGCAGUGGUUGCUGUAUUCACUGUACAUUCUUUUAAAACACCAGGCACUUUAUAAUUUUGUCUAUAAUUGUUUAUAUAUUUUUUCUUCACAACAUGUUUUAGAAUAACUUAUUGCUAAGUUACUUCAACGUAUGUGCCAUCUUUAAACUUUAUAUAUGAGUAUACUAAAGUGUCAUUUGCAAGACACAUCUAUGCACUAUUUUUUUUUUCAGGAGCCUCUUUAUUCAAAAUACUUUUAAAUGCAGUGCAUAAAAAUAGCAGGCCACUUCCACUUGCAGGCUUUUGAAGCUGGAGAAGACUUGUUUUUCACAUGAGGAAACUGAGUCCCAGCAAGGUGAAAUGACUUGCUAGUAAGUGAUACGAUUAAACUUAUUUUUUGACUCCAAAGCACAUUCUGCCAACUUGAAGAUGCUUGUCCCAACUUCUGGAAAUUCACCCUAUCAACGUCUGUAUCACAACCCCAUUCUUAAUAAUAGUUUCUUCACAUUAGAAAUAAAUGUCAGAAAUAAAUGUCUACUUGUCAUUUGUACAUGUCAUGCAAACAUCUUGGCACCAGAUAUGGGUACAAGUAGAAAGCAUCAGCGUGUUCAUCUAAGAACUGGAUUUUAUCCAAUGGAAUGUUCUGUUUAUUCAUUGCUAUUCAUGCAUACCUGCUGUGUUUUAACGUUGUGAUAAAUCCAGAGAAUCAAAUAUGAAUAAAAAUACUCCCUGAAUUCAACAAAGUAGGCAUUGGCUCUGGCCAGGGGACAAAAUGUUAAAUGGCAUGCAGUCUUCACCCUGGCACAACUUGAAGCUUAUCACCUAUUGUAGAGAUGAAGCCAUAAACAGAUCAUUUCAGCACAGCAUGAUAAGGGGGAGCUCCAGGGAUCAUGGUAGUACAUGGGCCCAGUCCCUAAUUAAAUCUGGUGGAGUGUGGGCAAAGUUAAGGAAGGCUUCCUAGAGGAGAGGGCAUUGGGGUUGAUCCCUGGCAGGAACAGGGCUCCAGGCAAGGGGAACAAAGACCAGU
RNAcentral lists this long non-coding RNA (8960 nucleotides) under Homo sapiens (human). RNAcentral's name for it is "non-protein coding lnc-IRX3-80:51". Lineage: Eukaryota; Metazoa; Chordata; Mammalia; Primates; Hominidae. The record is from RNAcentral.